RNAcentral lists this unclassified non-coding RNA (385 nucleotides) under fungal sp. RNAcentral describes it as "partial internal transcribed spacer region". The stretch from base 1 to 46 matches the Rfam family "Eukaryotic small subunit ribosomal RNA", at positions 1786 to 1831 of the family's 1831-position model. Lineage: Eukaryota; Fungi. The record is from RNAcentral.
AAGUCGUAACAAGGUUUCCGUAGGUGAACCUGCGGAAGGAUCAUUAACACGUAUCCAACGUUAAACAACCCUGUGAACCUUGAACGUGCUCUCGCACACGCUCUAGCAGCAAUCCCUGGUAAAUCAUUGUUGACCAGCUAUUGAGUCAGGGACCUCUGCUUUAAAACGAUGCGAUACGAGCGCCAGAGUAAGUGCGGCCUGGCAUCCUAGCAAUCUGUCAGUGGUUGCGCAAGGAUGGCGCAGUAAACGAUCGCUGUAGGCCCACACGGCCGGCGACCGGGCCAUUGUGCUUCGGCACCUAACGACCCCAUGUUUCGUACCCGGUGCGCUGUAACAACCGCACCACAAACUCGAACAACUGUUAACAAUGGAUAUCUUGGUUCUC